RNAcentral lists this ribosomal RNA (407 nucleotides) under uncultured bacterium. RNAcentral describes it as "bacterial SSU rRNA". It matches the Rfam family "Bacterial small subunit ribosomal RNA", at positions 355 to 774 of the family's 1533-position model. RNAcentral also lists the same sequence under 1 other name. The record is from RNAcentral.
UGGGGAAUAUUGGGCAAUGGAGGAAACUCUGACCCAGCGACGCCGCGUGCGGGAUGAAGGCCUUCGGGUUGUAAACCGCUUUCAGCAGGGAAGAAGCGAAAGUGACGGUACCUGCAGAAGAAGCACCGGCUAACUAUGUGCCAGCAGCCGCGGUAAUACAUAGGGUGCAAGCGUUGUCCGGAAUUAUUGGGCGUAAAGAGCUCGUAGGUGGUUCGUCACGUCGGAUGUGAAACUCUGGGGCUUAACCCCAGACCUGCAUUCGAUACGGGCGAGCUUGAGUAUGGUAGGGGAGUCUGGAAUUCCUGGUGUAGCGGUGGAAUGCGCAGAUAUCAGGAGGAACACCAAUGGCGAAGGCAGGACUCUGGGCCAUUACUGACACUGAGGAGCGAAAGCGUGGGGAGCGAACA